RNAcentral lists this ribosomal RNA (241 nucleotides) under uncultured bacterium. RNAcentral's name for it is "partial 16S ribosomal RNA". It matches the Rfam family "Bacterial small subunit ribosomal RNA", at positions 1260 to 1500 of the family's 1533-position model. The record is from RNAcentral.
AGGUGGAGCAAAUCUCAAAAAGACCGUCCCAGUUCGGAUCGCAGGCUGCGACCCGCCUGCGUGAAGUUGGAAUCGCUAGUAAUCGCGGAUCAGCAUGCCGCGGUGAAUACGUUCCCGGGCCUUGUACACACCGCCCGUCACACCAUGAGAGUCGGGAACACCCGAAGUCCGUAGCCUAACCGCAAGGGGGGCGCGGCCGAAGGUGGGUUCGAUAAUUGGGGUGAAGUCGUAACAAGGUAUC